UACGUAGGGUGCGAGCGUUGUCCGGAAUUAUUGGGCGUAAAGAGCUCGUAGGCGGUUCGUCGCGUCGGCUGUGAAAACCCGAGGCUCAACCUCGGGCCUGCAGUCGAUACGGGCGGACUGGAGUUCGGCAGGGGAGACUGGAAUUCCUGGUGUAGCGGUGAAAUGCGCAGAUAUCAGGAGGAACACCGGUGGCGAAGGCGGUUCUCUGGGCCUUACCUGACGCUGAGGAGCGAAAGCGUGGGGAGCAAACAGG
RNAcentral lists this ribosomal RNA (253 nucleotides) under uncultured bacterium. RNAcentral's name for it is "partial 16S ribosomal RNA". It matches the Rfam family "Bacterial small subunit ribosomal RNA", at positions 524 to 776 of the family's 1533-position model. The record is from RNAcentral.